This 629-nucleotide ribosomal RNA is filed under the name Opiliones sp. NZAC 03009016. RNAcentral describes it as "eukaryotic LSU rRNA". The stretch from base 320 to 629 matches the Rfam family "Eukaryotic large subunit ribosomal RNA", at positions 1 to 849 of the family's 3401-position model. Lineage: Eukaryota; Metazoa; Arthropoda; Arachnida; Opiliones. The record is from RNAcentral.
AACGGACCCCUAUCCAGGGCCGGGCGUCAACCGACCGUUCCGGGCCAGUCGGCGCAUUUCCUCCCGCUAUUAGGACGCUGCGACCGGUUGGGACACUGACCAGGAGUCGGCCAUGAGUGCGGGCUUCGGAAGGUGGCCGGCCGUAGGCUCUGCCUGCGGUCGGUGUUAUAGCCAGCCCGUAACGGGCGCGUUCUCCCAACCGAGGACUCGAUGGCCCUGCGGGGCCUGUCCGCAUCCUCCCCCGCGCGGGGAGUGGGUCGCCCGGCAGGUUGUUUGUCGUCGGACCGUCUUCACCUCAGCGUGUGCGGGCCGCGGCAUCUUCUGCUGGAUUCGGAGCGACUUCCGCUUUCAUGGAUGCAGGACGUCGGCAGCGAGUAGGUCGGUCACCCACCCGACCCGUCUUGAAACACGGACCAAGGAGUCUAACAUGUGCGCGAGUCAUUGGGACUUGUUUAUGCCCAUAGGCGAAAUGAAAGUGAAGGCCGGCUGCACGUCGGCCGCGUUGGGAUCCCUCGGACUCUGUGCCGGGGGCGCACCAACGGCCCGUCCCGAUCGCAACGUCGACGGGGCGGAGCGAGAGCGCACACGUUGGGACCCGAAAGAUGGUGAACUAUGCCUGGGCAGGACGA